Lutra lutra (Eurasian river otter) is the source of this 458-nucleotide long non-coding RNA. RefSeq lists it as uncharacterized. The record is from RefSeq and is a predicted model, not a curated record. Lineage: Eukaryota; Metazoa; Chordata; Mammalia; Carnivora; Mustelidae. The transcript is spliced from 2 exons.
CUCUGGGCUUGAUCCCAGGACCCCGAAAUCAUGACCUGAGCCAAAGUCAGAUGAUUAACCAAUUGGGCCACCCAGGCGCCCUUUGUUUUGUUUUUAAUGGGAGGAAUAACAACGAAGGAGAAUGAUCUGGCAAAGAGGAGAAAGUGGGUGGUGCAGGAGAAAGAAAUUGCUGGAGGGAUAUGCCUUAAGUGGACAAGAUGAAGGGCAUAAGCAGCGGGUUGACCUUGGCUGGCAGCAGGGACAGACAGUCCAAUGUCACAAACAGAAGGCAAGUGGUCAGCUGGGGGUACUGGGGGAGGUGCAUAGGGAAGGACUGGUGGUCAUCCAGGAGGGUGGCCCGAGAGCCCACCUGAGAAUCGUGGUCAUGGUGUGGCCGUGAGCUUUCUCUUGCAACAUGUUCAGCUGUUCGGGCAGCACAGAGAGGGUGGGGGUGUCGCAUCUGAGCUGAGCCAGGAGAG